RNAcentral lists this ribosomal RNA (502 nucleotides) under Cedecea sp. RNAcentral describes it as "bacterial SSU rRNA". It matches the Rfam family "Bacterial small subunit ribosomal RNA", at positions 20 to 513 of the family's 1533-position model. The record is from RNAcentral. Lineage: Bacteria; Pseudomonadati; Pseudomonadota; Gammaproteobacteria; Enterobacterales; Enterobacteriaceae.
UGGCUCAGAUUGAACGCUGGCGGCAGGCCUAACACAUGCAAGUCGAGCGGUAGCACGGGGAGCUUGCUCCUGGGUGACGAGCGGCGGACGGGUGAGUAAUGUCUGGGGAUCUGCCUGAUGGAGGGGGAUAACUACUGGAAACGGUAGCUAAUACCGCAUAACGUCGCAAGACCAAAGAGGGGGACCUUCGGGCCUCUUGCCAUCAGAUGAACCCAGAUGGGAUUAGCUAGUAGGUGGGGUAAUGGCUCACCUAGGCGACGAUCCCUAGCUGGUCUGAGAGGAUGACCAGCCACACUGGAACUGAGACACGGUCCAGACUCCUACGGGAGGCAGCAGUGGGGAAUAUUGCACAAUGGGCGCAAGCCUGAUGCAGCCAUGCCGCGUGUAUGAAGAAGGCCUUCGGGUUGUAAAGUACUUUCAGCGAGGAGGAAGGCAUUAAGGUUAAUAACCUUGGUGAUUGACGUUACUCGCAGAAGAAGCACCGGCUAACUCCGUGCCAGCA